Molecule: ribosomal RNA, 465 nt
Filed under: uncultured Chromatiaceae bacterium
Lineage: Bacteria; Pseudomonadati; Pseudomonadota; Gammaproteobacteria; Chromatiales; Chromatiaceae
Description: bacterial SSU rRNA
Rfam family: Bacterial small subunit ribosomal RNA
Source: RNAcentral
CCUACGGGAGGCUGCAGUGGGGAAUAUUGGACAAUGGGCGCAAGCCUGAUCCAGCAAUGCCGCGUGUGUGAAGAAGGCCUGCGGGUUGUAAAGCACUUUCAGUGGGGAAGAACGGAUACGGGCCAAUACCCCGCAUCACUGACGUUACCCACAGAAGAAGCACCGGCUAACUCCGUGCCAGCAGCCGCGGUAAUACGGAGGGUGCAAGCGUUAAUCGGAAUCACUGGGCGUAAAGCGCACGUAGGCGGCCCGCUAAGUCAGAUGUGAAACCCCUGGGCUCAACCUGGGAAUGGCAUUUGAUACUGGCAAGCUCGAGUCCGAGAGAGGGGGGUGGAAUUCCAGGUGUAGCGGUGAAAUGCGUAGAUAUCUGGAGGAACACCGGUGGCGAAGGCGGCCCCCUGGCUCGUGACUGACGCUGAGGUGCGAAAGCGUGGGUAGCAAACAGGAUUAGAUACCCCGGUAGUC